RNAcentral lists this long non-coding RNA (2056 nucleotides) under Prunus dulcis (almond). Its description in RNAcentral is "sRNA ncRNA". The record is from RNAcentral. Lineage: Eukaryota; Viridiplantae; Streptophyta; Magnoliopsida; Rosales; Rosaceae.
AUGUUAAGUAGAGUCAAUGAGGAGUCCCAGUUUGGUGAUGGGUUUGACAAGGUUGUUGGAGAAGGUUUGCUGAUGUGACUCACCUAUUUUAGUGUCCCAAAGCCUUUGAAAAGGAUGCUUGAGAUGCUCUUAGAAAUUAUAACUUCUGUCAAAAUUCAAAGUUUAUUUCCCUCAUCCAAACACACCGUAAACCACCAAAGCAAGAAUUCUUCUUGUUUUAAUAAUGCAUAAUGAAUGUAUUUAAUAGGUCUCAUCCAGCUAUUUAUUUAUUUAUUUUUAAAUGAAGAACAUAAAAGUGUUACUGUUAAAAACCUCAUCACAUCUCUUCUCUUGAGUAGCAUCCACUCCAUCUCUCUUAAUUUUUUUCUUUCAUCAUUCUUAGUCUCUUCACUCCAUCUUCUCGUCCUCUUCUAUGCAUCUAUCUCAUUUUUUCUCUGUGUUGUACUAUUCAAUGAACUCCACAUUUUCUUUCAUGGUCUUUGUGUUGUACUAUUUAGAGCUUCAAUGGGCCGGAAUAUUGAAGUUGUAAAUUUAAGUCUCGUCAGAAAAUGUAAAAAAAAAAAAAACAUAGAUAUACAUUAAUUUUUACAUCUCCAUUUGUAAGUCCUACUGACACAAAUACGCAUGAAAAAAGCUGAUGAAGUAAACAAAAUAGAGAAAGGGAAGUUUUUUAGGUUUUUGGAACUCAAAUGGGUUCUGAUAGGCUGUAAAUAGGCCUCAUCAUUUGGCCCGCGGGCUCAUGGGCCAAUGGAGGGCCGCUCGGCCCAUCGAAAAAAAGCCCGGCCCGGCCCGUUAUGGGCUUUGAGAUGGUCCGGCUCGCCUUAGGCUGGGCUAGGCUUGGGCUUGAGUAUUUGAAGCCCGGCCCAGCCCGAUUAAGCCCAAGAAAGCCCAGCCCAGCCAGCCCACAAAAGCCCGGCCCGUUAGGCCCGCAUACAUAUAUAAUUAUGCAUAAAUAUGAGUUUAGGUUUAGGAUUAUAUCACUUAAAUCACAUGUAUAAUUUGUUUCAUUUCAUUUACUUAUCUUUACUCAUUCCUAGUUUAUAAUUGGAUGAUUAGCAAAUUAAUUUGUGUCAAUUAUUAAUUCAACAAUUAUAUAUAUAUAAGAUGAACAACAUAUCACAUCGCCAAAUAUAAUCAUAUCACGAAACAUAAUCGUACCACCAAAAUAUAAUCAUGUUUUUCUUGAACACAUCACCAAAUAUUUGUGUAUUUAUUCAUACCAUCCUUUAAAAAACUAUUUUUUUGAUACUUAUUAUUUUUAAAAAUUAUUUCUUAAAAUGUAUUACGAUCUAAUUAUGUAAUAACCUCAAAAAUAAUACUUGGUUUUAUUAUUUUUGUGGAAAAUCUUAUAAGUUGUGUGACUUUAUUGGGUAUCUUAUGAAUUUGGUUUGAUGUAAAAAUAUUGGAAUUAAGUGAGUUUAAUCUCAAAUUUGGACUGAAAUGCCCUUAUGAUUAAGUUUAUGAUUUUUUUUUAAUGAAGUAGGGCACGUUUAGGCCCGGCCUCGGCCUUGGCCCGAUGGGCUUUCUCAAACCUGGCUAAUGGGCCGGACUUGGGCUUUGAAUUUUCUAAAAAAACUUGGCCCGGCCUGGCCCGAUAUUUUCUCUUUUCUCUUUAAAGCCCGACCCAGCCCAGCCCAGCCCAAGCCCAUUAAAUUUGGGCCGGACUAGCUCGGCUUGGCCCAUUGACGAGCCCUAGUUGUAAAUGUGGAUGCAGAUUAAUUGUUCAAAUUUUCAUCCCAAAUGCUGCAUGAAAAAACAUUCCUAACUACAAUAGUGAGCAGUGGGUGGCUCCAUCUCUAACUCCUUUGGGAGCAAGUUCCUCACACCAAAAAAAAAAAAAAAACACAUAAAAUGGUCAAAUUUAUUACUGCUUUUAGACAAGCACCCAUUUAGAUUCCUUCUUACUCAGUCAAGUUGUGCUCUCUCUCCUCCCUGGUCCAAAACCAUGCUCAGCACGGGGCAAAGUAAAGUUUCCCUAGCAUGGGAAGUGUACGUGUCGAGUUCUUAUUGGCAAUUUGAGAUUCUAUACGUGUUGAGUGUGGAAAGUUGUGAAUAG